CAAGAACCAGGGCGAUGCUAUCGACUUGCAAUCUCGAAUUAAUUGAUACUUAAAUGAUCUAAAAUAUCAAGAAAUAAAAUAAUUAUCACCAGUGCACAGCACGUGAUCAUCAAAAUAUCCAAUCUGUUGUGAUUGUUUUUUGCUUCUGUAGCUUAUGAUUGUUCAGAAGUUUUAGAAUUUGGUCGGCCGAGAAAAAAAAAGUACGUACAUGGAAUCCUACUGUAGUAGAGGAUGAGUCCGAAUCCAGUUGAGGGACUGGUGAUUCUUGGAAUGAAUUGCUCUUAUUGGUACUUUAGAUCCAUAUUACAUGAGAAGAUGGAGUGAUCGAUGAGAGUGCCACCUCGACAUAGAGAGUUCAAGCAGGGGAGGUGAAAUGGACAUGCUUCUCUUAGAAUCUAGAAUAUCUUUGUAUUAUUUGUAGGACUACAGCUUGUAAAAGAUUAUCUGAAACUUAUGUGAUCCAACUCCAUGCCAAGGG
This 478-nucleotide long non-coding RNA is filed under the name Elaeis guineensis (African oil palm). RNAcentral's name for it is "long non-coding RNA (EGUI_LNC015882)". Lineage: Eukaryota; Viridiplantae; Streptophyta; Magnoliopsida; Arecales; Arecaceae. The record is from RNAcentral.